Molecule: ribosomal RNA, 305 nt
Filed under: uncultured bacterium
Lineage: Bacteria
Description: partial 16S ribosomal RNA
Rfam family: Bacterial small subunit ribosomal RNA
Source: RNAcentral
ACAGCAGCAGCCGCGGUAAUACGGAGGGUGCAAGCGUUAAUCGGAAUUACUGGGCGUAAAGCGCACGCAGGCGGUCUGACAAGUCAGAUGUGAAAUCCCCGGGCUUAACCUGGGAACUGCAUUUGAAACUGUCAGGCUAGAGUCUUGUAGAGGGGGGUGGAAUUCCAGGUGUAGCGGUGAAAUGCGUAGAGAUCUGGAGGAAUACCGGUGGCGAAGGCGGCCCCCUGGACAAAGACUGACGCUCAGGUGCGAAAGCGUGGGGAGCAAACAGGAUUAGAUACCCCGGUAGUCCCUGUCUCUUAUAC